AUUGAACGCUGGCGGCAUGCCUAACACAUGCAAGUCGAACGGCAGCACGGGAGCUUGCUCCUGGUGGCGAGUGGCGGACGGGUGAGUAAUGCAUAGGAAUCUGCCCAGUAGCGGGGGACAACUUGGGGAAACUCAAGCUAAUACCGCAUGCGCCCUACGGGGGAAAGCGGGGGACCUUCGGGCCUCGCACUAUUGGAUGAGCCUAUGUCAGAUUAGCUUGUUGGUGGGGUAACGGCCUACCAAGGCGACGAUCUGUAGCUGGUCUGAGAGGACGAUCAGCCACACUGGGACUGAGACACGGCCCAGACUCCUACGGGAGGCAGCAGUGGGGAAUAUUGCACAAUGGGCGAAAGCCUGAUGCAGCAAUGCCGCGUGUGUGAAGAAGGCCUGCGGGUUGUAAAGCACUUUCAGUUGGGAAGAUGAUGACGUUACCAACAGAAGAAGCACCGGCUAACUCCGUGCCAGCAGCCGCGGUAAAG
RNAcentral lists this ribosomal RNA (479 nucleotides) under uncultured bacterium. RNAcentral describes it as "bacterial SSU rRNA". It matches the Rfam family "Bacterial small subunit ribosomal RNA", at positions 29 to 525 of the family's 1533-position model. The record is from RNAcentral.